Molecule: non-coding RNA, 556 nt
Organism: Myodes glareolus (Bank vole)
Lineage: Eukaryota; Metazoa; Chordata; Mammalia; Rodentia; Cricetidae
Source: RefSeq, a predicted model, not a curated record
UAUAGCCACAAAUAGUAUAAAAACUUGAGGCUCACGACCAGGAGACAUUCUCAAAAUGACUUGCUAGGCAUGCUGUCAGAGUGGUCAUAGAGAAUCCAACGAACCAGCAACUUCACAGCUGAGACCGUCCAAGAGCCAGAGAACUAGCUCUUGCCUGCGGAUCAAGACUUGCUGAUCCAGAGGUCUACAUCGAGAGCCACGGACCAUUAUCAGCAUGCUGGGCCCGACCAUCCUACACAAAGGCAAGAUGAGGACAACCUGAGAGGGAGUGACCAUGAACUGCCUGUAGAUCACCAGGCCUUGUGAGUCUCUCCCUGUCUCAUGGCAGGAUGUUGAUAGGACCAGUCAUGUGCAAUGAAAAGUGUUUUGAUAUUUGAAUGUCACCGCUCUGCGUUGAACCAUGGAAACUGAGUGUUUGGCCAGAGCUGACUAAGAGCAACAGGACAGAGGAGGUGUUGGGGUGUAGAUGGAACCAAACAAUGGUAACAACCUGAGACCACCCACAGGAGUGGAGCCUGCACCCUGAGACCACCCACAGGAGUGGAGGCUGCACCCU